This 403-nucleotide long non-coding RNA is filed under the name Anser brachyrhynchus (Pink-footed goose). RNAcentral's name for it is "lncRNA (ENSABRG00000019446.1)". Lineage: Eukaryota; Metazoa; Chordata; Aves; Anseriformes; Anatidae. The record is from RNAcentral.
GCCCAGAGCAAGGCCUUUCUCCCAGUCAGUCCUUGGAGAUAUCCAGAAGACAGCAUGGGGAAAGAGAAGGAGUUCUGGAAAGAGGUGGAGUUCCUGCAAGGACUGGGUUUCAGGCCUCUGACAUCCAUCAUAAGCCUCAGCCAGCUGGGACCUACAGAGCCUUUAGUGACAGCAAAAGGAAUCAUGGCUCACGGACUGAAAAGCAUCUCUACUGCAUAUUCACCAGUACCAAGGGCAGCCGACAUCCCCAGAGCUGUGGGGAGGCUGUUUGCUUGGGUUACACAUUUCCUGGAAGCCUGACCAGCAUCAGUCCCUCCAGUCAGUGGUCCUUUGGAAGAAAAAACAGCAGUGGCCUCUAGGACCAAGUCACAAAUAAAUAAAUAAAAUCUACUGCUUUGAAUCA